This 497-nucleotide ribosomal RNA is filed under the name uncultured bacterium. Its description in RNAcentral is "partial 16S ribosomal RNA". It matches the Rfam family "Bacterial small subunit ribosomal RNA", at positions 28 to 507 of the family's 1533-position model. The record is from RNAcentral.
GAUGAACGCUGGCGGCGUGCCUAAUACAUGCAAGUCGAGCGAACAGAUAAGGAGCUUGCUCCUUUGACGUUAGCGGCGGACGGGUGAGUAACACGUGGGUAACCUACCUAUAAGACUGGAAUAACUCCGGGAAACCGGGGCUAAUGCCGGAUAACAUUUAGAACCGCAUGGUUCUAAAGUGAAAGAUGGUUUUGCUAUCACUUAUAGAUGGACCCGCGCCGUAUUAGCUAGUUGGUAAGGUAACGGCUUACCAAGGCAACGAUACGUAGCCGACCUGAGAGAGUGGACGGACACACGGGAACAGAGAAAGGGUACAGACUCCGAGGGGAGGCAGCGGUAGGGAAUCUUCCGCAAUGGGCGAGAGGCUGACAGAGGAAAACGGGGGGAGGGAUGAAGGAGUUAGGAUGGGAAAACGAUGUUAUUAGGAAAGAACAAAAGUGUAAGUAACUGUGAAGGUCUUGACGGUACCUAAUCAGAAAGCCACGGCUAACUACGUG